Molecule: ribosomal RNA, 291 nt
Filed under: uncultured Flavobacterium sp.
Lineage: Bacteria; Pseudomonadati; Bacteroidota; Flavobacteriia; Flavobacteriales; Flavobacteriaceae
Description: partial 16S ribosomal RNA
Rfam family: Bacterial small subunit ribosomal RNA
Source: RNAcentral
GUGUCAGCCGCCGCGGUAAUACGGAGGAUCCAAGCGUUAUCCGGAAUCAUUGGGUUUAAAGGGUCCGUAGGCGGUUUAAUAAGUCAGUGGUGAAAGCCCAUCGCUCAACGGUGGAACGGCAAUUGAUACUGUUAACUUGAAUUAUUAGGAAAUAACUAGAAUAUGUUGUGUAGCGGUGAAAUGCUUAGAGAUUACAUGGAAUACCAAUUGCGAAGGCAGGUUACUGCUAAUGGAUUGACGCUGAUGGACGAAAGCGUGGGUAGCGAACAGGAUUAGAAACCCUUGUAGUCC